This 498-nucleotide ribosomal RNA is filed under the name uncultured bacterium. RNAcentral's name for it is "bacterial SSU rRNA". It matches the Rfam family "Bacterial small subunit ribosomal RNA", at positions 899 to 1397 of the family's 1533-position model. The record is from RNAcentral.
ACUCAAAGGAAUUGACGGGGGCCCGCACAAGCGGUGGAGCAUGUGGUUUAAUUCGACGCAACGCGAAGAACCUUACCAGGCCUUGACAUGCCUGCGGCGCCCCGAGAGAUCGGGGGUCCUUUUCGGAGGCGCAGGCACAGGUGGUGCAUGGUUGUCGUCAGCUCGUGUCGUGAGAUGUUGGGUUAAGUCCCGCAACGAGCGCAACCCUUGUUGUUAGUUGCCAUUAUUAAGUUGGGCACUCUAAUGAGACUGCCGGUGACAAACCGGAGGAAGGUGGGGACGACGUCAAAUCAUCAUGCCCUUUAUGGCCUGGGCUACACACGUGCUACAAUGGCCUGUACAGAGGGAUGCCAAGGGGCGACCCGGAGCAAAUCCCAAAAAGCAGGUCCCAGUUCGGAUUGCAGGCUGCAACUCGCCUGCAUGAAGUCGGAAUCGCUAGUAAUCGCAGAUCAGAAUGCUGCGGUGAAUACGUUCCCGGGCCUUGUACACACCGCCCGU